GGCAGUGGGACUGCAUCACUUUGGAAAAGGUUACUGGAAGAGAGUACAAGAUGAAGCUGCAUCACCCUCAAGACCUAUUUACUACAGCUUAGGCCAUGGUGACAAUCAACUACAAGUUGUCAAAGCAGAAUCAGGAACAAGCACAGAGAUGCCCUCAGCAGGUCCCUGCCAACCCAUAGCAGAGGAUCUCUUCUAUUCUACAGUACAAUAAGUAAGUAAGACUGCAUUCACACAAUCUGUGAUGGAUUAUAGAGAUCUAUAAGUAUAUGGAAGAUUUAUACUUUUUAUACAUACCACUCAUUCACUCACUCCUAGAUUUGUGUAUGUAAAAGAUCUGAUUUUGCAACACAGGAAAACUAGUGUUUUACACAGAAUGUUAUUUUUGUUGGAAACUAUUCUAUAAAGUCAUCAUUGGUGCGUAAUAUGAACCAUUAAAGUAUUUUUUUUUCCAAUCCUGUUUUUUAAUUUUUUCUUCUGCACCUUUUUGUGAGUCUUACAGGUUGCAGAGAGAGAUGACUGAAAACAUCUGAGUGAGAGUAAAAACAAAGAAGUGACCAAAUGUUAUUACAUAUUGUUUUGUUUUUAUUAAUCAAGUUGUACAUUGCUUGUUGUUGAUGUUGUACAUCAAACCCAGACAUUGCUGUCUGUAACCUGUUAACGGAUUUGUUUGUUCAGAAAUAGCUGCUUACCAUUCCGCGUGGUUACAAGUGUAUAUAUACAGUUUGAAUCAACUUCUAAAUAGGUUUAAUCACCUUGUUCGAUCUUCUUUCCAUUUUUACACAUGUAUGAAUGCUAUUACAGUAAAAGAGCUGCUGCAGCUUUCAAAGACACCCACUGUGGUCAACCGCUAACGUCAAAGUGUCACAUUACUUUUUUCCAAAACAGACGCACCGAGUUUGUGGUGAGCAAAUAAAAAUAUAACUGCCAAGUUUGAUACUGAGCAUGACGUUAACUGAGUUUAAGUGUUGUCUAGUACCCAGAAUGAGGUGUCUGGUUUCAUGCUGCUACCUGAUCUGAAAUUCUGCUUUUACACCGUCUGAGCAAACAAAAGUAGAAGUCAGUUGCUGAGUGAGGACCGCAGCUCUCAACUCCUGUGGGCUCGGCUUCAGUAGGUUACAGUAGUUUAUAUUUUGAGAGGCUAAAUAAGGUUUUUUUUUAACAUUAAUUGCUUUAGCAAAAUUCCCUCUCCUCAUGCCUGUUUUAAAUAAAGUUACACAGCGAUAUAAGAAAUGUGGAAGUAACUAUUGUAAAAAAGUGUUUGCAGAUAUUAUGUGUCUAUUUUUAGAGAUAUAAAUACCACAACUAAAAAUGAAUUAAAUUCACAAUUAAUUACAAAUAUAUUACAAAAAUCCACACACUCUAUGCAGAUUGCUGGAUAGUGUUUUGUUUUGUUUUUUGUUUUUUUUUAAGCUUUAAUCUUACCUGAAAAAAUAAAAAAAAAUUCUCUCCAGCUAUACGGGAAACUUAUGAUGAUGUUUUGUUUUUGUUUUUUACUGAACCUGUUAAUAGUAGUGACUGCU
Long non-coding RNA from Astatotilapia calliptera (eastern happy), 1520 nucleotides. Lineage: Eukaryota; Metazoa; Chordata; Actinopteri; Cichliformes; Cichlidae. The record is from Ensembl.